GGGAGGGAGUGACUAGUGACAGAGGGAGGGGGUGACUAGUGACAGAGUGAGGGGAUGACUAGUGACAGAGUUAGGGAGGGUGUGACUAGUGACAGUCACCACCUCCCUCACUCUGUCACUAGUCACCAUCUCCCUCACUCUGUCACUAGUCACCCCCUCCCUCAUUCUGUCACUAGUCACCCCCUCUGUCACUAGUCACCCCUCCCUCACUCUGUCGCUAGUCACCCAUUUUCUCCC
Non-coding RNA from Pelobates cultripes (western spadefoot toad), 237 nucleotides. The record is from the annotation of a GenBank genome assembly. Lineage: Eukaryota; Metazoa; Chordata; Amphibia; Anura; Pelobatidae.